RNAcentral lists this ribosomal RNA (793 nucleotides) under Epiperipatus biolleyi. Its description in RNAcentral is "bacterial SSU rRNA". It matches the Rfam family "Eukaryotic small subunit ribosomal RNA", at positions 965 to 1440 of the family's 1831-position model. The record is from RNAcentral. Lineage: Eukaryota; Metazoa; Onychophora; Udeonychophora; Euonychophora; Peripatidae.
UGUUUUCUUUAAUCAAGAACGAAAGUCGGAGGUUCGAAGGCGAUCAGAUACCGCCCUAGUUCCGACCUUAAACCAUGCCGUCCGACCGCCCGCCAGGGUUACUACCGCGACUCGGCGGGCGGUGACUUUCCACCGGGAAACCCUUAAGCUUUCGGGUUCCGGGGGAAGUACGGUCGCAAAGCUGAAACUUAAAGGAAUUGACGGAAGGGCACCACCAGGAGUGGAGCCUGCGGCUUAAUUUGACUCAACACGGGGAACCUCACCCGGCCCGGACACCGCGAGGAUUGACAGAUCGAUAGCUCUUUCUCGAUCCGGUGGGUGGUGGUGCAUGGCCGUUCUUAGUUGGUGGAGCGAUCUGUCUGGUUAAUUCCGAUAACGAACGAGACUCUAGCCGGUUAAGUAGCCCGAGUGGCGUGUUGUUGAUUUAAAAACCGCCCUAGCGGCAUUCGGGGUGCUUUGCGGAAGCUGUCUGGCUUUAACGGUGGUGGGACGGGGAGGUGGAAGACGACGGUUUUAGCCGCGUGCGUCGCGGCUGGGAUCUAGUUUUUUUAACUUCCCUUUAAUCCUGUCUCGUUUCGGCCUNUCACUUUUGUGGGCCUCUGUUUGCUUAGCUGGGGUAGAUAAAACGCUAACGAGAGUCGGGGGCAGUGGACGUUACUCGUGGAAUGGGUGGGCGCUCCUUAGUGGUGCGUCCCUCUUCCCGGUUUCGCUCUUCUGCUUUCCUCGUCGUCUCGCGCCACCGGCUUUCGAGUGCAAAAGCUUCUUAGAGGGACGAGCGGCGUUCAGCCGCGCG